This is a non-coding RNA of Cytidiella melzeri, 92 nucleotides long. NCBI's taxonomy places the organism in Eukaryota, Fungi, Basidiomycota, Agaricomycetes, Polyporales, Irpicaceae. The record is from the annotation of a GenBank genome assembly.
UCCCUGGUAGUAUAUCGGUUAGUACACGCGCCUGUCACCUGAUCAUCGAGUCUCGUGCGCGCGAAAGCGGGGUUCGACUCCCCGCCAGGGAG